Molecule: unclassified non-coding RNA, 385 nt
Filed under: uncultured fungus
Lineage: Eukaryota; Fungi
Description: partial contains 5.8S ribosomal RNA and internal transcribed spacer 2
Rfam family: 5.8S ribosomal RNA (bases 1-133)
Source: RNAcentral
UGGCUCUCGCAUCGAUGAAGAACGCAGCGAAAUGCGAUAAGUAAUGUGAAUUGCAGAAUUCAGUGAAUCAUCGAAUCUUUGAACGCACCUUGCGCUCCUUGGUAUUCCGAGGAGCAUGCCUGUUUGAGUGUCAUUAAAUUCUCAACCAUUAUCACUUUUUGCUGAUAAUGGCUUGGAUAUGGGGGUCUAUUUUGCUGGCUUCUUUACGGAUGGUCAGCUCCCCUUAAAUGCAUUAGCCGGUGCCCCGCGUGGACUGUCUAUUGGUGUGAUAAUUAUCUACGCCGUGGACAUCUGCAAUCAUAUGGGUUUGCACUGCUUCCAACCGUCUGUUCAAUCAGACAAUACAUGACAAUUUGACCUCAAAUCAGGUAGGACUACCCGCUGA